GGUGAACGCUGGCGGUAGGCCUAACACAUGCAAGUCGAACGGCAGCACAGUAAGAGCUUGCUCUUACGGGUGGCGAGUGGCGGACGGGUGAGGAAUACAUCGGAAUCUACUUUUUCGUGGGGGAUAACGUAGGGAAACUUACGCUAAUACCGCAUACGACCUACGGGUGAAAGCAGGGGAUCUUCGGACCUUGCGCGAUUGAAAGAGCCGAUGUCGGAUUAGCUAGUUGGCGGGGUAAAGGCCCACCAAGGCGACGAUCCGUAGCUGGUCUGAGAGGAUGAUCAGCCACACUGGAACUGAGACACGGUCCAGACUCCUACGGGAGGCAGCAGUGGGGAAUAUUGGACAAUGGGCGCAAGCCUGAUCCAGCCAUACCGCGUGGGUGAAGAAGGCCUUCGGGUUGUAAAGCCCUUUUGUUGGGAAAGAAAAGCAGCAGGUUAAUACCCCGCUGUUCUGACGGUACCCAAAGAAUAAGCACCGGCUAACUUCGUG
This 492-nucleotide ribosomal RNA is filed under the name uncultured bacterium. RNAcentral's name for it is "partial 16S ribosomal RNA". It matches the Rfam family "Bacterial small subunit ribosomal RNA", at positions 28 to 507 of the family's 1533-position model. The record is from RNAcentral.